RNAcentral lists this ribosomal RNA (413 nucleotides) under uncultured Rhizophagus. RNAcentral's name for it is "partial 28S ribosomal RNA". Lineage: Eukaryota; Fungi; Glomeromycota; Glomeromycetes; Glomerales; Glomeraceae. The record is from RNAcentral.
GAGAGUUAAACAGUACGUGAAAUUGUUGAAAGGGAAACGAUUGAAGCCAGUCGUACCUUCGGGUAAUCAGCCUUUCGGGUGCGAUUAUGUGGAGUGUGAGGAGCUUAAACACCUUCAUGUUUUGCAUAUUCGUACUCUUGGGUGUACUUGCCCGUAUGGUUGGUUAACAUCAAUUUUGGUGGUCAUAAAAUGACUGGAGGAAUGUAGCUUCGAUCUCGUAUUGAAGUGUUAUAGCCUUCGGUAGAUGUGAUGAUCGAGAUUGAGGAUUGCAACGGAUACCCUUCGGGGCUACCUGUCUGAUCUCUGAUCGUUGUUCUGGUGCCGAAAGCUUGCUUACGGUUAUCAAAGUCGAUGGUCAAUAGGUUAGAACGGGUUAAAUUCGUUAAGGAUGUUGACGUAAUGGCUUUAAACGA